GAUGAACGCUGGCGGCGUGCCUAAUACAUGCAAGUCGAGCGAACGGACGAGAAGCUUGCUUCUCUGAUGUUAGCGGCGGACGGGUGAGUAACACGUGGAUAACCUACCUAUAAGACUGGGAUAACUUCGGGAAACCGUAGCUAAUACCGGAUAAUAUUUUGAACCGCAUGGUUCAAAAGUGAAAGACGGUCUUGCUGUCACUUAUAGAUGGAUCCGCGCUGCAUUAGCUAGUUGGUAAGGUAACGGCUUACCAAGGCAACGAUGCAUAGCCGACCUGAGAGGGUGAUCGGCCACACUGGAACUGAGACACGGUCCAGAAUCCUAAGGGAGGCAGCAGUAGGGAAUCUUCCGCAAUGGGCGAAAGCCUGACGGAGCAACGCCGCGUGAGUGAUGAAGGUCUUCGGAUCGUAAAACUCUGUUAUUAGGGAAGAACAUAUGUGUAAGUAACUGUGCACAUCUUGACGGGACCUAAUCAGAAAGCCACGGCUAACUACGU
This 496-nucleotide ribosomal RNA is filed under the name uncultured bacterium. RNAcentral describes it as "partial 16S ribosomal RNA". It matches the Rfam family "Bacterial small subunit ribosomal RNA", at positions 28 to 506 of the family's 1533-position model. The record is from RNAcentral.